Populus trichocarpa (black cottonwood) is the source of this 847-nucleotide long non-coding RNA. RefSeq lists it as uncharacterized. The transcript is spliced from 2 exons. NCBI's taxonomy places the organism in Eukaryota, Viridiplantae, Streptophyta, Magnoliopsida, Malpighiales, Salicaceae. The record is from RefSeq and is a predicted model, not a curated record.
AAAGAAUCAAUUUUACCUCCUCUAGAAUUAUUUUUCUAAUUUGGCCCUCCAAACCAAAAUUCCUAGGGCAGGCACGGCAUCAAAUUAAGGUUUUAAUGUGAGAUACAAACUGGGGCAGGCAGGCACCAACCUGCGCCUGAUAAGGGCAGGAAGCUUUAUCACUUCAUUUCCAAAACUUUUUAUCUGUAACAUCAUAUACGAGAUCUGAUUGAUUAACAAGAGAUCAGCCGGAUGAGUGAGGUCAGCAGCAACCAAAAGAACACCAAUAAUGCCGCAACUAACACCAGUGAAGCCCCUCGUGAACGGGGAUUUGGGCGGCCUUCUGGGCCAAUGGCGCCGCCCAAGAGAGGAGGUAUAAAGAAGAAGAUGUGGGAGGAUUUUACUGGUAAACCCUCCCCUUCCAACCCUCCAGCUGGUACUACUUAGAGUUCCGCAUGAUAUAUAUUUGCCUUGAUUGCUGUACGUGUACAUAUGUUUGUCCUUUAAUUAGUUGGGGUUUGUGCGCUUCUCUUUUCUUGUAGUAACUGCCGUGAUCUCCAGCUUAGCUUAAUAGAGUUGCUGGGAUGAAGAAUAGGAGCUUUUUUUUUUUUUUUUGGUUUAAUCCGAGGAAUAAUAGGAGCUCGAGCUCAUAGUUAUCGUGUGCUAUAUAUAUGGGCUGAAUUCUUCUAAUGUGGCAGGGAUAUCCUUUAUAAUGUUGUUUAUUAACCGAGCAUGACUUGAAUAUAUGUAUUAUAUUGCCAGUGGCCUUACGAUUUGGUUUCUUGGCCCCUGGUUAAGUACUUAAAUCCCUUGUUUUAAUCUUCUCUGUAUAAUUUGAAUUUGAUCUAAUGUCGCAUGUUUUAUUGAA